Molecule: long non-coding RNA, 144 nt
Organism: Carassius auratus (goldfish)
Lineage: Eukaryota; Metazoa; Chordata; Actinopteri; Cypriniformes; Cyprinidae
Exons: 2
Source: RefSeq, a predicted model, not a curated record
GCUCAACCACUGAGGGGAGGAACUUCACCAUUCAAAAGACAUUGUCUUCAGGUAGAGUCCAGCAAAGCAGCUUCCCCUGGAAAUCCUCAGUGAAGUUAUUUUGUCAGUGGGUGACUCUGCAUAUUUGACACUUUCUCUGGUUUG